Long non-coding RNA from Cyprinus carpio (common carp), 1266 nucleotides. RefSeq lists it as uncharacterized. NCBI's taxonomy places the organism in Eukaryota, Metazoa, Chordata, Actinopteri, Cypriniformes, Cyprinidae. The record is from RefSeq and is a predicted model, not a curated record. The transcript is spliced from 2 exons.
AGUGCAUGUAUUCAUAUCUACUAAACAUGGAAAAAGUACAAUGAUAAAAUUAUAGAUAAAAAUUUUAGGAUAUAAUUCCUUUAAAGACAGUUAUUAGUUGUAAUAGGUUGUUGAUCAAAGUCGUCUAAUGGAAGAUUAUUAAAGGGCACUUGGCCAGAAUGGAUGGAUUGGAGAAACUGUACUGGGUGUUUAACAGGCUUGUCUAUUGUUUGUUGGCAGUGCUCAGUAUCCUGUGGAGGAGGUGUUCAGCGCAGACUGGUCAAAUGUGUCAACACUAAGGCCAAGCUCGAGGAUGAAACUGAGCAUGUGGAUUGUGAUCAUGAACCUCGACCAAAGAACACAAAGAAGUGUAACAUUCAAGACUGUGACAGCACCCGCUCUGGUCAGUUGUGUUUACGGGACCAUUUGACAAUACGCUUCUGUCAGACUCUCCGAUGGCUCGGCCGAUGUCAAGUGCCUUCGGUCCGCGCAAAGUGCUGCAAGACCUGCAGGCUGCCAUCACGGGGCGGUGAUCACACUGCAAGUCGCUGAGAUACAGGGGGAUAGCAGAAUGACUGUUGUAAGCCAGGGAACACAAGAUUAUGACACACAAAUACUCAAAGCAGAUUUGGACCAAUCCAUUGUUGGACAGACUUUCGUCUGGUCUGGUCAAGCUGUAACCAUUGACCUACAGUUCAUCAGGGAGCUACUUUGUCCCUACAUCCUUUAACACAUACAGUAAGUAGUGCUUAUUUCCACCCAUCAUCUCAGAUAAGUGGUAGUAAUGCAGAGUGGACCAUCUUGCCAUCUCACUAUAGAGUGAGGCAGGGAUGAUGUCAUUUUAGCAUGUAUAGUUAGCAUUUUAGCUCUUCCGGUUCACCGUCCCAAAUUCAGUGGGUUUUUUGCAUGGGUUUUUGGUUAAAUUGGUUAAACUUUUCUCAUCUUAAAAAAGUUGGUUGCUGACAGGAGGCUAAAUGGGACUAUAGAGGUUGUGAGUGAGUAUGAAAACUCAUGUACUCACUAAUUCGCUUUCACAGUAUUUCCUCUUUCAGGGAAAAAAGUUUUUUUUCCACAUAAUUGCAAGUUUGCAGAUUUCUAUUUAUUGAAGCUGAUGGCAGAUCAGAUGUAAAACCAGUAGUGAAGUACCUGGUGCUGCAACAUAAACUGGUGCUAAAGGUAGCGAGCGGUAAAAUCCUCACUCAGUCUGGUGUUGGCUGGUACUUGAAUUCUACACACACUAUUUAUACCUUAAUUUUAUAUGUCUGUAUUACUCUUUGGAUUAAUAAA